UUCGAUCCUUUAAUCAUUUUUUUUUUGCACUUUUUCAGAAACUCCGAUUAGAUUUUUUUUUCACACCUCAUUUAGAAAAAUCUAAUUGGAGUUUUCUUUGAACACCAAAAAAAGAAAUCUACGAUUUGUUUUAAAGAAGUUAAUUCUAUGUUCAAAUAAUUAGUCGAAAUUAUAAUUGAGAAUAUUCUCAAAAAUAGAUCGAAAUAUAAUAAAACAAGAGCUUAUCAGGUUUUCAGCUAUGGAAUGGAGGCAAAUUUGUUAAAAUUUUAUAUAAUAAAGAAAUGCUGCUGUGGUCAACCUACCUUAGUAUCUAGAUAUUUACUCGUAUCGUUUAUAGAUUUUGUUUCUUCUACUAUAACACAAGAAAAGUAUAUAAUUCAGUAUAAUUCACUUGCCAAAUAAGAAAGCAACCCUACAGGCCAUCUUUGACAAAUCAAUGACUAAAUCUUUUUAUUGUUUAACUCGUGACGGGUUUAUAUAUGACUGCAUCUCCUUCACACACCGUGAUUCGUUGAUACUUUAAAGAAAUAAUAUUUCUCUAUCCACGCACAAAAAUAAGCGCAAAAACGCCAAAGAAUAUCACCCUAAUCCAG
Molecule: long non-coding RNA, 593 nt
Filed under: Phoenix dactylifera (date palm)
Lineage: Eukaryota; Viridiplantae; Streptophyta; Magnoliopsida; Arecales; Arecaceae
Description: long non-coding RNA (PDAC_LNC003735)
Source: RNAcentral